Molecule: small RNA, 76 nt
Filed under: Xanthomonas vasicola
Lineage: Bacteria; Pseudomonadati; Pseudomonadota; Gammaproteobacteria; Lysobacterales; Lysobacteraceae
Also listed under: 1 other name
Description: sX9 sRNA
Rfam family: Xanthomonas sRNA sX9
Source: RNAcentral
AUGUACCAAUCGUACACUCCGGUUCCUGUGCGCCGUCCGCACCCACCUGACGACUGCUCGCUACGUUUUGUUAGCU